RNAcentral lists this ribosomal RNA (253 nucleotides) under uncultured bacterium. RNAcentral describes it as "partial 16S ribosomal RNA". It matches the Rfam family "Bacterial small subunit ribosomal RNA", at positions 524 to 776 of the family's 1533-position model. The record is from RNAcentral.
UACGGAGGGGGCUAGCGUUGUUCGGAAUUACUGGGCGUAAAGCGCGCGUAGGCGGCAUAGCAAGUUGGGGGUGAAAGCCCGGAGCUCAACUCCGGAACUGCCUUCAAAACUGCUAAGCUAGAGUUCGGAAGAGGAGAGUGGAAUACCCAGUGUAGAGGUGGAAUUCGUAGAUAUUGGGUAGAACACCAGUGGCGAAGGCGGCUCACUGGCCCGUAACUGACGCUCAGGCGCGAUAGCGUGGGGAUCAAACAGG